This is a long non-coding RNA of Anthonomus grandis grandis, 822 nucleotides long. RefSeq lists it as uncharacterized. NCBI's taxonomy places the organism in Eukaryota, Metazoa, Arthropoda, Insecta, Coleoptera, Curculionidae. The transcript is spliced from 2 exons. The record is from RefSeq and is a predicted model, not a curated record.
UUUGGUUUAUACCAUUUAGGAACGGUAAUUACCGAUGGACCGCUUGGAAUCGGUUUAUGUGUACUAGGUUGAACCAAACAGCAAAGGCCGUUCGAAUAAAAACUUCCGAGCAGGUUAAUGAAAUGACCAAGAACAACACAAGGCAGGUACAAUAUCCCUUAAAGGAAUAAAAACAAUAUAAAUAUAGCGUACCUACCUGUGAUCGGUACAUAGCUUUCCGUAGUACUAAUAGGUGCUACAGUUGAAGUUGGAAUAGGAUUUGUCACCCUUGGAACACAAUAGUAGCCAUCACCUUCAAAGCCUGGAUGACAGUGACAGCUAAAUUGAUUGGUAGCUGGAUCUAUGCUGCAAAUACCGUAUGGAGAGCAAUUAUUGUUCAUAUCGCAAUCUUGACUGGUGACUGGUUGGCAGUUAAGACCAUCACCUAAAUUAAAUUACGAUACUUAUUUGAUAACUUUUUAGGAUUACGUUCGUUCACCUCUAAAUCCAGGAAGGCACCUACAUUCAGCUACUUCACCAGAUUGUACACAUUGUGCGUUUUCCCUACAAGAAAUAUUGGCGCAAGUGUUUACUGGACUGCAUAUUUUGCCAUCUCCUUCGAAUCCUGGAUUACAUAGGCACUGAUAGCUUCCUAGAAUUAAAAAUAAUAAUAUGUUUCAAAAAUGUGCAUUUGCUUGAACUUCUUUCUUUUAGAAUUUUUUUUUAUAGUCUACCACUGUUACAAUCUUCUCUUCUUUAAUACUUUGUGUGCUACGCUACUAGUGUUGCUAUACGUCAAUUUUGAUAACGGAUAAUCAAUCAAUAAAAUCUCAUUGUUUUCGA